Molecule: ribosomal RNA, 557 nt
Filed under: uncultured Acidobacteriota bacterium
Lineage: Bacteria; Pseudomonadati; Acidobacteriota
Description: bacterial SSU rRNA
Rfam family: Bacterial small subunit ribosomal RNA
Source: RNAcentral
CAUGCAAGUCGAACGCGGAAGUCCCGCAAGGGAUUAGUGGAGUGGCAAACGGGUGAGUAACGCGUGGGUGACCUACCUCUGGGUGGGGGAUAACCUUCCGAAAGGAGGGCUAAUACCGCAUGACAGCCUCUGUAUGGAAACAGGGGACUCAAAGCCGGGGAUCGCAAGACCUGGCGCUUGGAGAGGGGCCCACGUCCGAUUAGCUAGUUGGUGGGGUAACGGCUCACCAAGGCUCCGAUCGGUAUCCGGCCUGAGAGGGCGGACGGACACACUGGAACUGAGACACGGUCCAGACUCCUACGGGAGGCAGCAGUGGGGAAUUGUUCGCAAUGGGCGCAAGCCUGACGACGCAACGCCGCGUGGAGGAUGAAGACCUUCGGGUCGUAAACUCCUUUCGACCGAGAUGAAUUUCCGCCGACCUAACACGUCGGCGGGCUGACAGUAUCGAGGGAAGAAGCCCCAGCUAACUCCGUGCCAGCAGCCGCGGUAAUACGGGGGGGGCAAGCGUUGUUCGGAAUUACUGGGCGUAAAGGGUUUGUAGGUGGCCUGCUAAGUCA